RNAcentral lists this ribosomal RNA (273 nucleotides) under uncultured Lactobacillus sp. RNAcentral's name for it is "partial 16S ribosomal RNA". It matches the Rfam family "Bacterial small subunit ribosomal RNA", at positions 72 to 339 of the family's 1533-position model. The record is from RNAcentral. Lineage: Bacteria; Bacillati; Bacillota; Bacilli; Lactobacillales; Lactobacillaceae.
ACCGAGAUUCAACAUGGAACGAGUGGCGGACGGGUGAGUAACACGUGGGUAACCUGCCCUUAAGUGGGGGAUAACAUUUGGAAACAGAUGCUAAUACCGCAUAGAUCCAAGAACCGCAUGGUUCUUGGCUGAAAGAUGGCGUAAGCUAUCGCUUUUGGAUGGACCCGCGGCGUAUUAGCUAGUUGGUGAGGUAAUGGCUCACCAAGGCGAUGAUACGUAGCCGAACUGAGAGGUUGAUCGGCCACAUUGGGACUGAGACACGGCCCAAACUCC